This 288-nucleotide ribosomal RNA is filed under the name Firmicutes bacterium enrichment culture clone otu_F1. Its description in RNAcentral is "partial 16S ribosomal RNA". It matches the Rfam family "Bacterial small subunit ribosomal RNA", at positions 1092 to 1382 of the family's 1533-position model. Lineage: Bacteria; Bacillati; Bacillota. The record is from RNAcentral.
ACGAGCGCACCCUUGAUCUUAGUUGCCAGCAUUCAGUUGGGCACUCUAAGGUGACUGCCGGUGACAAACCGGAGGAAGGUGGGGAUGACGUCAAAUCAUCAUGCCCCUUAUGACCUGGGCUACACACGUGCUACAAUGGACAGAACAAAGGGCUGCGAGACCGCAAGGUUUAGCCAAUCCCACAAAUCUGUUCUCAGUUCGGAUCGCAGUCUGCAACUCGACUGCGUGAAGCUGGAAUCGCUAGUAAUCGCGGAUCAGCAUGCCGCGGUGAAUACGUUCCCGGGCCUU